CUCUGACCAUAAUUUAUGUGAGGCCAGAUGGAACUUGAUGUUUUCUGUUAAGUUUCAGCUGGAUUUUGCAAUUUAAGUUUUUGGUUUGAAUAGCGAGUUAGAGCAAAACAUGGAGGAAGGAAUGGAAAGCAGCAAUUAAUUCACAUAAAGCUUAACAGGAGGAGGAAUAUCUGGAACCUUUUAAAGGAUUAAAAAUAAGUUGCGGUGGAUCAUUUGUUUGCGAGACAGAAGAGGCUUCAAAGAUCCUCAAGCGGAUCAAACAGGAGCGUUCAGAGGCUUCACAAACUGAUGGAGGCCACCGGGCAGGAAGCGUCUCGAAUGGCUCGCUCUUUUGUGCCCACAUCAAAGUGCCCCUGCGUGACUGGCAGCCUCCUUUCUGGCCGGUGGUCCGCCAGGGAUUGGGUGGCAGCAGAAAGAAGAGGAUUUGCCUCCUAGUUCACCCCUGUGCAGUGUAUGUGCAGGUCAGAGGAGAUACUCGCACGGUUGCAUGGCUUAGAGCAUGACCUUCCCCUGGUGUUGCUUGCCCUCCUUGCUCUCUUGUCCUCUCCUCAUCGCUGCUUUACCUUUCUUUUGGCUGUGCAAGAGGAAGCCAUGUGAAUGUAAAAAUCUGUGGUGCAACCUACGGCCCCCGCUGUCCUCGCCUUAUAGCUGGGGCUGCUAUGCCAAGAAGUUUAUGUAUGGGAUUUAUGGCCAACUGAAGGCCAUGGGAAGAACACUGCCAGCAGAACUGGCUUGUGGGUGAGGCCUUGGGCUGACAGAUCCUGGAAAACCUAAGUGAAGGGUUGGAGAACACAGUUACUUGUAAAAGAGGGGGUCCUGAAUCCACUUGUGCUCCCCUUUUCUUUCUUUCUGCCCUUACUCUGAGCUGCUGGAGGAGAAGGAGCCUCCUGCAACCUCAGUCCUCCAAACGUGGGCACCGAGGAGCAAUGGCAAAGCUGUGCAGUAACUAACUGCACCCUCAGCACCCCAGCAGGCCGCAGCUCAGGACCAGGGCCCUAGGCUGGCCCAGAGACAUUGGAGUUGCCUGAGGUUCUGCCAGUCUGCAUGUCCCAAACUGGACAGGGUCAAACUGGUGCUCAAAGGCUGCUGAGGAAAAGCUGGACCACAGGGUGGGAGGCUCCGGGGCCUGAUUCUGCAGCCCAUUGAUCUCUGCAAAAGGCUGCAGGAGCUGAAGCCCACCUGCAUUAAUUCAAGGCAGAUACACCAGCACCAGUCACGUGUACCAUGUGGCAGUGAGAACCUCCAGAGUUCAUGGCAGGGGAUGGCAGUAUAAUGAAGUUUACUGUGAAAUUAGCUAGGAAAACUCUACAUAAAGGGAGGAGAAAUAUAGCCUGUACAGUGUGUGAGAUCAUUAUAUUACAGACACUUUCAAGGCCAUUUCAUAAGGAGACACUGAAAAAAGACCUUAUGAAAGACUAAAAAAAUCCUGCACCCCUUAACAUCCUGCACUUUUAACCAAAGGCUGAACUUGCACAGAGAGCAAUGCUUUUCAUAUUUAAAUCCAAUCAGCACGAUGGCAGGCCAGGGAGAAAAUAUCCAGGCUUUGGAGCCCAGCUAUGAAGGGGGGAGCACAUAAAAAUGGGGUCAGCUGGGAAAAGAAGCUAACAGAAGCCCUGGUGCAGCCACCAGUUCACUUUUGGGUUUUAAGGGGCAGCCAGCUGUUAUUCUAGCAACUCUCCUUCAGCUGAUCAGCAAGCCCUAAAGAGGAGGUGUUGUGGUGAGGUGGUCACCCAGGU
Oxyura jamaicensis (ruddy duck) is the source of this 1736-nucleotide long non-coding RNA. RefSeq lists it as uncharacterized. Lineage: Eukaryota; Metazoa; Chordata; Aves; Anseriformes; Anatidae. The record is from RefSeq and is a predicted model, not a curated record. The transcript has 2 exons.